GAUGAACGCUGGCGGCGUGCCUAACACAUGCAAGUCGAGCGAGAAGUUUGUAAUUGAUACCUCGGCUGAUUUUUUAAGUGGAGAGCGCCGGACGGGUGAGUAACGCGUAGGCAACCUGCCCCAUAGAGAGGGAUAGCAUCGUGAAACUGGUAUUAAAACCUCAUACUGCAUCCUAGACACCAGUCAAAGAUUGGAAAGAUUUAUCGGUAUGGGAUGGGCCUGGGUGUGUGUAGUUAGUUGGUGAGGUAACAGCUGACCAGGGCGAUGAUCAGUAGCCGUCCUGAGAGGGUGAUCGGCCACAUUGGAACUGAGACACGGUCCAAACUCCUACGGGAGGCAGCAGUGGGGAAUAUUGCACAAUGGGCGAAAGCCUGAUGCAGCAACGCCGCGUGAGCGAUGAAGGCCUUUGGGUCGUAAAGCUCUGUCCUAGGGGAAGAAAAAAAUGACGGUACCCUUGGAGGAAGCCCCGGCUAACUACGUGCCAGCCGCCGCCGUAA
Molecule: ribosomal RNA, 497 nt
Filed under: uncultured bacterium
Lineage: Bacteria
Description: partial 16S ribosomal RNA
Rfam family: Bacterial small subunit ribosomal RNA
Source: RNAcentral